RNAcentral lists this ribosomal RNA (373 nucleotides) under uncultured organism. RNAcentral's name for it is "partial 16S ribosomal RNA". It matches the Rfam family "Bacterial small subunit ribosomal RNA", at positions 527 to 896 of the family's 1533-position model. The record is from RNAcentral.
GUAGGUGGCAAGCGUUGUCCGGAAUUAUUGGGCGUAAAGCGCGCGCAGGUGGUUCUUUAAGUCUGAUGUGAAAGCCCCCGGCUCAACCGGGGAGGGUCAUUGGAAACUGGGGAACUUGAGUGCAGGAGAGGAUAGUGGAAUUCCACGUGUGGCGGUGAAAUGCGUAGAUAUGUGGAGGAACACCAGUGGCGAAGGCGACUUUCUGGCCUGUAACUGACACUGAGGCGCGAAAGCGUGGGGAGCAAACAGGGAUUAGAUACCCUGGUAGUCCACGCCGUAAACGAUGAGUGCUAAGUGUUGGGGGGGUUUCCGCCCCCUCAGUGCUGCAGCUAACGCAUUAAGCACUCCGCCUGGGAGUACGGUCGCAAGACUG